AUCAAUCUCUCUUCUCUCUAAAAUACUUGCUGCCAUCAAACUUCGUCUCCAUCACCAAACCAACUCUUUUCCCGUGUUCCGGUCACCAUUCAACCACCUCUAGCAUCGGAUAACUUAAUGAGGGUCUGCGAGCAUCAUGUCGACGUCCUUUCCUCCAUUAGCGCCAAGUUCUAACGAAGAUAACCCAACUCUCUCUCGAUUGCGGCACCUACCCAUUACCUACUCCCGAUUUUCGAUCACCUCUCAUCGAUCUCAAGCCGACGAAGCCUCCUUUGACCUCUAACUGCCAACGAGAUGCUUUCCUCUUCCUUUCUGAUGCUAAGAAAGUUGCGAAUCGCAACCUUUGUCGCUUCACUGCUAUCGUAGUGAUAGUCAUUAAAUUUCAGCGAAGUCAAGCUUUUCCGAUGAAGGCUAUCGAUUUGCUAUGGGUUUGAGGUGAAUGAGCCAAUUCCUUCAUGAUUAGGUAAUGAAGGGUUUACGUGAGAGGGUUGCCUCAAAAUGUCUUAUAAAAGUGCAAUUGAUACGCCAAAUGCCAAAUAUAUCUCUAACAUCCGAUUGUUCAGACCAACCAGGUUCCAGUGGUGAUAAUACGACAGCUGUUUUCGAAGGAAGGAAGAAGAAGUGUUCAGAGCAUGAUUUUUGGGAGAAGGGAGCAUCCAGAGCAUGAAUUGUGGGAGACUGAAGUUGACAAAUAGGUUUUGUAACGAUAGAUAAAAAAAACUGGAAGCAGAGAUAAUUGUUUGUUAAUUUUAUAAUUUUAGCAUUAAAGGAUAAAAUAAAAAACUAUCUAAUGAACAGUGAAUCAUCUCUCAUUUUGGUGUAUAUAUAUAAUAUGAGAAAAUAUAUCAAGCCUUUAUAUUUUUAA
Jatropha curcas is the source of this 865-nucleotide long non-coding RNA. RefSeq lists it as uncharacterized. NCBI's taxonomy places the organism in Eukaryota, Viridiplantae, Streptophyta, Magnoliopsida, Malpighiales, Euphorbiaceae. The record is from RefSeq and is a predicted model, not a curated record.